This is a long non-coding RNA of Ursus maritimus (polar bear), 713 nucleotides long. Lineage: Eukaryota; Metazoa; Chordata; Mammalia; Carnivora; Ursidae. The record is from Ensembl.
GCGUGGAAGGUUCGGGGAGUCAGACCCGAGAGAUGUCCCCGUACCUUGACGAGGGCGCCCGGAGACGCUUGGAGGAAGCAGCCCAGACUCUGCCGGGAGGGUUCAGGGUGUGGGCGGAGUCCGGACCCUUGGGUGACCAAGACCCUUGGGUUUCCAACAAAGGCCGCUGCGUGGGCGCCGAAAUUACUAGUGAGCACUGGGGAGGACGUUUUCAGUUAAAGCCCGAGCAUUGUCAUCUUUUUUACUCACGGGGCACUGGUGUGUGGUCCUGCUGUUUGAUUGGGCGUGGACUCUCAGAGCUCCACCGAGUUUUAGAAAUCGGAUCCGAUGGUGAAGAGGAGAGGAACUUCUCUUUCAGUCGCUGCCGGCUGAAGGAGGAUUUGCCUGCACCGAGGCCUUUCGGAAGCUCAGAGACUUCAGUGCUUCUGGGGCUUUCGCUGCCUUCCCAGGCCUCCCGCAGAUCUAUGUCACCUCGCCACCCACACUUCACACACCUUGCCACCUUCUACUUGGCUCUGCUCCUGGAGGAUGCUGACGAUGUGGGGCUGCCAGAAACUCGAUGAUCAUGAGUGGACAUCGUAAUGGCCACAAGUUGCUAACAUCUCAGAAAUAAGAGAGUCUGGUGUUGCUUGGGAACCAGAAUUCCUAUGAACAGCCAGAUACCGACUGAGAUCCAAGGCGGCAAAAUAAUAAACGAUUAAGACCUUCCCUCA